Molecule: ribosomal RNA, 367 nt
Filed under: uncultured Lactobacillus sp.
Lineage: Bacteria; Bacillati; Bacillota; Bacilli; Lactobacillales; Lactobacillaceae
Description: bacterial SSU rRNA
Rfam family: Bacterial small subunit ribosomal RNA
Source: RNAcentral
CAACAGAUGAUGCCUAUCAACUGUUUAAAGAUUGGUUCUGCUAUCACUCUUGGGAUGGACCUGCGGUGCAUUAGCUAGUUGGUAGGGUAACGGCCUACCAAGGGCGAUGAUGCAUAGCCCGAGUUGAGAGACUGAUCGGCCACAUUGGGGACUGAGACACGGCCCAAACUCCUACGGGAGGCAGCAGUAGGGAAUCUUCCACAAUGGACGCAAGUCUGAUGGAGCAAACGCCGCGUGAGUGAAGAAGGGUUUCGGCUCGUAAAGCUCUGUUGUUGGUGAAGAAGGACAGGGGUAGUAACUGACCCUUUGUUUGACGGUAAUCAAUUAGAAAGUCACGGCUAACUACAUGCCAGCAGCCGCGGUAAAU